Molecule: long non-coding RNA, 530 nt
Organism: Clupea harengus (Atlantic herring)
Lineage: Eukaryota; Metazoa; Chordata; Actinopteri; Clupeiformes; Clupeidae
Source: Ensembl
UUGCUUUCCCCUUCAUAUGGAUGUAGUCUAACCCAAACAUGGAUUUUUGGAAGAAGGCAACCAAAUUUAGUGCCCAACUUCACAUAAGAGGGGAUCGAAACAGGCGACCUAACAGAGUACAAUCUCAUGACAAUUUUCUGAGAGGCUUUCAACAACAUUCAUGGGUCAAAGAUGCAGGACAGUGUGGGGACAGAGCACAUGCCACCACACAUUUUAUUGACCUGGUGACUCGAAAGGAUCCUGACCAGAAGGUCAGAUGCAUUCCCGUCUAAGGCAUAUGUGCAACCAUUCAUUCAAAUUUCUUUUAAUAGGUGUAGCUAACUGGUUUUAGUCAAAUCAUUACUACAUUUAAAGAUUGUCAUUUUUAGCCAAUAAAACAAAUGAUAUUGUUUAGCCUAAAACAGAAAAAGUCAAACAAUUGAGAAAGGAAAUGUCCAUAGUUAUGAGAGUCCAGUAUUUAACAUGGCCAGACAGUCCUUGUUGGGGGGAUAAAAGGGGUUAGAAAGUAAGUGUGUGUGUGUGUGUGUGUG